Helianthus annuus (common sunflower) is the source of this 473-nucleotide long non-coding RNA. RefSeq lists it as uncharacterized. Lineage: Eukaryota; Viridiplantae; Streptophyta; Magnoliopsida; Asterales; Asteraceae. The transcript is spliced from 3 exons. The record is from RefSeq and is a predicted model, not a curated record.
UGGAUUUGUUUCGCGUUUACUUAUUAUACAUAAAUCACGAACCGGUACAAUCAAUCACCGAUCGUUUCCAUAUAUUGCGGGACCUUCGAUCGCUAUAAAAACCGACCCUUCGUCACUCCCUCACCACUGCAACACAUCUCGACACAACCACAACCUCCUUUCGUUACGCUUCGAAGUUCGCCCGAGAUUUGGAGUUCACCGGAGUAACCGAAGCCGAACGGAGAUCACAACUGGAACUCGGCUCGACUAGUUACGUAUUUGGAUAAACCGUUUGUUCGUCCUCUUGGAUUUCUCCAAUCCUUACUCGUGCGUUAUUUCCAAGGAAUCACAAACGCAACCACUGUACACAAGGUUGAUAGCUUCUUGAGGAGACACAUAGGAUUGUGCCUUAGAAUAAUUAAAUCAAGACCUACGUUAUUUUCCUUUUGUAUUUUGAAUAUUGUGUGGUUGUAUUUGGAACGAUUAUUUGGUUA